This 1266-nucleotide ribosomal RNA is filed under the name Anaplecta omei. RNAcentral's name for it is "16S ribosomal RNA". The stretch from base 1022 to 1181 matches the Rfam family "Bacterial large subunit ribosomal RNA", at positions 2473 to 2632 of the family's 2925-position model. The record is from RNAcentral. Lineage: Eukaryota; Metazoa; Arthropoda; Insecta; Blattodea; Anaplectidae.
UUACUUUAGGUUUAAUUGUUUUUUAUUGUUGGGUUAUUGUAAUGUCAUUUUGGUUUUAGUAUAUUAUUGUGAUAUAAUUUUUUUUUUGUUCUGUGAAGGGUUCUGUAUAGUUUUGAUAAGUUGAUUGGUGAUUGUACCUUGUGUAUCAGGGUUUGUUAAUUUUUAAUAUUUAUUUUGUGUUUCCCGAAACUUAAAGAGUUACUUUGUUAUGAGGUUCUUUGUGGUAAAAAGGUCUUAAAUAUCAAGGUGGUAGUGAAAUGUUAGUCGUUUUUGGUGAUAUCUGGUUUCCUAAGAAAUAAAUUUAAUUUGGCAGUUUAAUAUUUAUUUUCUUUAUUGGGGAGAAUAUAAUAAUUUAAUUGUAUUUUUAAGGGGGAUUAGCUCUUUUUAAUAUUUUUAUAAUAUUUUUAUUUGGUGGAAAUUUGUUGGUUUUGUAUUAACUAUUAUUGAUGAUUAUGUUGAAAUUUUACUUUUCUUUAUUUUUAUUUUGUUUUAUUUAAUUGUUUAUUAGGAUAGAUUUUUUAAUUUUUAUUGUUUUUUAAUAAUGAUGGAAUUAGUAUAUUUUAUUAAUAUUUUGUUUUAAAGUGUUUUAAUUAUCUUAAAGUAACUAGGCAAAAUUUUGAGUUUUUGUCUGUUUAUCAAAAACAUUUCCUAUUGGUUUUAUAUUAGGUAUGACCUGCCCACUGAUGUUUUAAAUGGCCGCGGUAAUUUGACCGUGCGAAGGUAGCAUAAUCAUUAGUCUUUUAAUUGUUGACUUGUAUGAAUGGUUGCACAAGAAACUUGCUGUCUUUAUUUUAUUUUUUGAAAUUAAAUACUAGGUGAAAAUGCUUAGAUAUUUAUAUGGGACGAGAAGACCCUAUAGAGUUUAAUUUUUCUGGUGGUUUUUUUGUUUGUUUUUAUAUUUAACUGCUAGUAGUAUUUUGUUGGGGUGAUUGAAAGAUUUAUUUAACUCUUUUUUUUUCUUAUUAUUUAUUUAUAAUUUUUUGAUCCUUUAUUAUGGAUUAUUAGAUAAAAUUACCUUAGGGAUAACAGCGUAAUCCUUCUUGAGAGUUCUUAUUGAUGGUAGGGGUUGCGACCUCGAUGUUGGAUUAAGAUAACUCUAUGGUGCAGUUUUUAUAGGAAGUGGGUCUGUUCGACCCUUAAUAUCUUACAUGAUCUGAGUUCAAACCGGCGUGAGCCAGGUUGGUUUCUAUCUAUCAAUUAAAUGUUUUAGUACGAAAGGACCAUACAUUUUUAAUAAUUAUUUUUAAUUUGAUUUAUAUUAAAUUU